RNAcentral lists this ribosomal RNA (465 nucleotides) under Vreelandella stevensii. Its description in RNAcentral is "partial 16S ribosomal RNA". It matches the Rfam family "Bacterial small subunit ribosomal RNA", at positions 338 to 795 of the family's 1533-position model. Lineage: Bacteria; Pseudomonadati; Pseudomonadota; Gammaproteobacteria; Oceanospirillales; Halomonadaceae. The record is from RNAcentral.
CCUACGGGGUGCAGCAGUGGGGAAUAUUGGACAAUGGGCGAAAGCCUGAUCCAGCCAUGCCGCGUGUGUGAAGAAGGCCUUCGGGUUGUAAAGCACUUUCAGUGGGGAAGAAAGCCUUGGGGCUAAUACCCUCGAGGAAGGACAUCACCCACAGAAGAAGCACCGGCUAACUCCGUGCCAGCAGCCGCGGUAAUACGGAGGGUGCGAGCGUUAAUCGGAAUUACUGGGCGUAAAGCGCGCGUAGGCGGUCUGAUAAGCCGGUUGUGAAAGCCCCGGGCUCAACCUGGGAACGGCAUCCGGAACUGUCAGGCUAGAGUGCAGGAGAGGAAGGUAGAAUUCCCGGUGUAGCGGUGAAAUGCGUAGAGAUCGGGAGGAAUACCAGAGGCGAAGGCGGCCUUCUGGACUGACACUGACGCUGAGGUGCGAAAGCGUGGGUAGCAAACAGGAUUAGAUACCCUGGUAGUC